UGCAGCCUGCAACUCGGCUGCAUGAAGUUGGAAUCGCUAGUAAUCGCGGAUCAGAAUGCCGCGGUGAAUACGUUCCCGGGUCUUGUACACACCGCCCGUCACACCAUGGGAGUCGGGAAUGCCCGAAGUCGGUGACCUAACCGAAAGGGAGGAGCCGCCGAAGGCAGGCCUGGUAACUGGGGUGAAGUCGUAACAAGGUAAC
This 202-nucleotide ribosomal RNA is filed under the name uncultured bacterium. RNAcentral's name for it is "partial 16S ribosomal RNA". It matches the Rfam family "Bacterial small subunit ribosomal RNA", at positions 1299 to 1500 of the family's 1533-position model. The record is from RNAcentral.